This 300-nucleotide ribosomal RNA is filed under the name uncultured Actinomyces sp. RNAcentral's name for it is "bacterial SSU rRNA". It matches the Rfam family "Bacterial small subunit ribosomal RNA", at positions 217 to 533 of the family's 1533-position model. Lineage: Bacteria; Bacillati; Actinomycetota; Actinomycetes; Actinomycetales; Actinomycetaceae. The record is from RNAcentral.
GCCCUUGGAUGAGCCCGCGGCCUAUCAGCUUGUUGGUGGGGUAAUGGCCUACCAAGGCGACGACGGGUAGCCGGCCUGAGAGGGCGACCGGCCACACUGGGACUGAGACACGGCCCAGACUCCUACGGGAGGCAGCAGUGGGGAAUAUUGCACAAUGGGCGGAAGCCUGAUGCAGCGACGCCGCGUGAGGGAUGACGGCCUUCGGGUUGUAAACCUCUUUCAGCAGGGACGAAGCGCAAGUGACGGUACCUGCAGAAGAAGCACCGGCUAACUACGUGCCAGCAGCCGCGGCCGAAGGGC